UUUGGCCUGAGUGUGUGUGUGUGAGUGUGUGUGUUCUUUUGGCCUGAGUGUGUGUCUGUGUGUGAGUGUGUGUGCGCGCGUGUGUGUGUUCAGGCUCAGCUGCAAAAACCAUCAUGUACGAUAGGUCAGCGAGGGUCGACAGCUUGCCGAGCCAUUCGCUGACGCUGUCGCUGCACCAGAAUAGAAGGCAGCCAAAAUACAGCAGAGUGGAAGUGGGCAUCAACAUGGUGGGGACCAUCUCAUCCCAAAGAAACAAGCCCAGGGUUCCCACUAAUCCAGUGUGAUGCCUGGCUGAAACCGAGACAGCCUCUUUGGUGGCCACCAGGCCGCUGAAGAAGCCAUUUGUGUUAUCUGAGCCACUUUAAAAAGGCUGACCUCUGACCUGGGCGGCAGGGUCACCGCUCG
Long non-coding RNA from Entelurus aequoreus (snake pipefish), 405 nucleotides. RefSeq lists it as uncharacterized. NCBI's taxonomy places the organism in Eukaryota, Metazoa, Chordata, Actinopteri, Syngnathiformes, Syngnathidae. The record is from RefSeq and is a predicted model, not a curated record. The transcript has 3 exons.